GGAGGAUCAAGGCGAGUGCAAGCAAUUUAGUCUUCCCGUGGAAUCCGGCUACCGGAUUUUGAAGAGCUAAAGCGAAGCGCAUCAUAUAAAUUUGAAACGCCAGCAGCUGAAGUCGGAGACUCCCUACUCGCUACUCUUGCCAUCUCAUAGGAAGGGAAAACAGGAAAUGGAUGAAGAAGAAUUUCGACGCCUUCUUGAUCUCUUCCCUGUUGUCCGACCUCGCGAUUACCAUAUUGACUUCGACCUAUCUAGGCAAUCCACUUCUCGGUCGCUGCAGGAUGAGGCGGCAAAGAAUUGGCAUGACUCAUGGGAGGAGCAGGAGGGGGAUGAAAAGGAAACAAGCAAUCAAGCUAUUGAUUUACAUGAUGCAUUCUGGGAGAAGCUGAAGUUGGCAGUUGAGAGGAAGGUAUUUUUCUGGCUUUUAAUUAAUUGUAAGAAGUUGGGUCAAGGCGUAAUUAUAUAAACAGUACAAGAUAAAAUUUUGUCUUAGGCCAUUCUUUGAGCCUGUAGGACAUGAUUAUCUGAUAUGGGGGAAAACCAUCUUGUAAUGUUUGUAUAAAUCGAGUCCAUAUUCGUUGUCCUUCAAACUUUUUGAAUUUUAUGAGCUGCUUAUUUUUUGACUAGUUUAUUAUUUUCUCUCUAUUUGGGUGCUCAUGAGCUUCUUCCACCGAAUAUUGUGCAAUGCAAUGAAGUUUCUUAAGGUGUAACGGAUAAGUUCCCAUAUGCAAGGAGAAUUUUGUCAUAUGAGAAGGAGAUAUUGAAUUUGAAGAAGAGAUUUUGAUUAUUAGUGAACAAGAACACAUUAUUUUUACUUUUAGUGGGAUUUCAAUUGAGGUGAUGUGGUAUUUGGAGCAUGACAUUGUUAUCUAUUAGGCUACAUACUUACAUGCCAAAAUGUAUUGCUGAUGACGAUGACCCUUGAAAUGCUAGACACAAAUGUUGUGUGCAAUGUCAUGUUCAAAUUGUGAAAUAGAACGGAUACACUAAUUUCCAUAUUGAAUACAGUCCAUGAGAAUACAUAAGAUCAAACAGUUCAAUGGAAAUGUUAUAAUUUUGGUCUCAAGUUCUUUAAUAGCUUAAUUUAAGCUCAAUGGUUGGUUUCUUUUGAAUUGAAUGGAUUUUUGGACUUGCUGUAAGAUUGGAGUUGUAGUGGAUGCUUGAUAAAUAUAUUGUCAUGCAGUGUGCAGUCCAUAGAUAUGUUUGAGCUUUGUAGCUGAUAUAAUUACUUUUGGCAAUUAGUUAUAGCAAGUGGAUAGGCUGUUAGUUGUGUGAAAUUGUCUGCUAUGCAAAAGGGGAAAACCUCAGGUUUAUUUCAUGGGAUAGUAAUAAGGUCAAAGCAGUCAUUAUUGUGAUGAUGACUUGUCGAAGGUUUUUCCUGAUAUGAAUUGGUAUGCCUUCGUAACUUGAAGCAUUUCACUGGGGCUUUAUUGUUUAAAUCUUGAUUCAAUUUAGUUGUUUAAGGGACAAGUACAUUUAUAUCAUGUGAAAAAAGAGUUUUGCCUUUAUAGUUAGGGGCAUUGCUGUCUUAAAGAAUGCUUUGAUAAAUUAUCUGGGUGAAACCCCUUUCCCAUACAUGCAUCUGGAAUGACUGAAGAGCUUUUCAAAAAUGGGGGAAAAAUUGUUAAUAUUUCUUAAUGAAGAGUUGCUAAUUUUGGUGUGCUUGUGGAUUUAUAGGUGGGUGCAGCAGAGGCUAAGAGAUUUUGCAACGCUUUUCAACAAGUUCACAGGCAACUAGUGAGUAUGCGCAAUAUACCAUAGAAUCAUACAAUAAUUUUGUUCAGUUAACUCUCCAUUUUUCUGUUAUUGAUGCCAUAAAAUUUGUAAAAUUUGUACUUUCUUAUCUCCAGGUAUAUGAAGAGCUGAGUUUCGAUGCUGCCCGUAGCUUCAUAAAUUCAAAAAGUUCUGGAAAACAGUUUUCUUCCUAGCUGUAUUAUUCACUUUUUCUCAAAUUGAUUAUGCAGUUGCCACCUAUUUUGUUCUGAAGGAAAAAUAACAUUGUGAUCUAGUUUGAAAUGAGAUUGAGAAU
RNAcentral lists this unclassified non-coding RNA (2026 nucleotides) under Hevea brasiliensis (rubber tree). The record is from RNAcentral. Lineage: Eukaryota; Viridiplantae; Streptophyta; Magnoliopsida; Malpighiales; Euphorbiaceae.